GUUUCAGAUUGGUAUAUAGAGAUCAAAAAGGGGUUUCUGUGAAAUCCCUUUAGGGUUGUCAGAUUUUGGUCGCCCUAUUUGAUGCUUGGAUUCGGAGAAGGUUUGUCGUAUUGCUGCAGAAUGGAUGGAGAAUGAUGGUGCAGGCUACCAAUCUUGGUUGAUGCAUGAUGCUUGACAAUUCCAACUUGGCAUUCAGAUGGAAGCAAAACAUGGCAAGCUGGUUGAUUGAUCAAGAAGGAUUGUUGCCUUCAUGCUGCGGAGUUGUUGAAUAGGAGAUGCUUGUUAGCCUUGUGCUCAUGUCUGGCAAUGUCAAAUUGGAUACAAGGUUUAUGUGGUGAGCAAAGUGGUUUACAUUGGUCAUGUAUAAUGCAUUGGAGGUAUGCCGGCGUGCAGGUUCUGCAGGUUGUUAA
Long non-coding RNA from Lathyrus oleraceus (garden pea), 410 nucleotides. RefSeq lists it as uncharacterized. The transcript is spliced from 3 exons. The record is from RefSeq and is a predicted model, not a curated record. NCBI's taxonomy places the organism in Eukaryota, Viridiplantae, Streptophyta, Magnoliopsida, Fabales, Fabaceae.